UACGUAGGAGGCAAGCGUUGUCCGGAAUUACUGGGCGUAAAGGGCUCGUAGGCGGCCAACUAAGUCAGACGUGAAAUCCCCAGGCUUAACCUGGGAACUGCGUCUGAUACUGGAUGGCUUGAAUUCGGGAGAGGGAUGCAGAAUUCCAGGUGUAGCGGUGAAAUGCGUAGAUAUCUGGAGGAAUACCGGUGGCGAAGGCGGCAUCCUGGACCGACAUUGACGCUGAGGAGCGAAAGCUAGGGGAGCAAACGGG
RNAcentral lists this ribosomal RNA (253 nucleotides) under uncultured bacterium. Its description in RNAcentral is "partial 16S ribosomal RNA". It matches the Rfam family "Bacterial small subunit ribosomal RNA", at positions 524 to 776 of the family's 1533-position model. The record is from RNAcentral.